ACUUUCAAAGGACAGAAGUAAUCCUGUGGCUUUAGGAGCCAUCUCUCCU
This 49-nucleotide transfer RNA is filed under the name Pelusios carinatus. RNAcentral's name for it is "partial transfer RNA-Leu". The record is from RNAcentral. Lineage: Eukaryota; Metazoa; Chordata; Testudines; Pelomedusidae. RNAcentral also lists the same sequence under 1 other name.